GAGACGGCGUAGCUUUGGGGGCAAUCCUAACUUGAACAAAGUUCCUCGUUCAGUGUCAAGAAAGUGACGUUUCUGAUUCUUACAGGCCUGUUGACAGUAAAAACACAGGCUGGAGCAAGCAGCAGUGGCAAGCUUCGCUGCUUGAGGGAAACAGUGCAAGAUUUUCUUAUGACUACGACUAACCUGCUGGUGGGGCAUCUGUGGGAUCACCACAAGAUCCCAGCAACACUUCUGAAAACAGAAUCACCAAUAAAUUGAGCCCUGCAUUUGUUAUUAGAGAGGAUCCCAACGGUGGUUAUUCUGAAUCUGACAACAGCUCUCCAAUCACCCGGGUUGGAAAGAGAAGGAAAUCAGCUGAAAAACACUAUAAUCAGCUUGGGAGUCCACUGGGGAAAGUACCCAAAGCAAGCACCAAAACUUACUUACAGAGUGUACGUAACUAUGCUGUGGUUUCACGUUUC
Molecule: long non-coding RNA, 461 nt
Filed under: Anser brachyrhynchus (Pink-footed goose)
Lineage: Eukaryota; Metazoa; Chordata; Aves; Anseriformes; Anatidae
Description: lncRNA (ENSABRG00000009627.1)
Source: RNAcentral